Molecule: ribosomal RNA, 464 nt
Filed under: uncultured Klebsiella sp.
Lineage: Bacteria; Pseudomonadati; Pseudomonadota; Gammaproteobacteria; Enterobacterales; Enterobacteriaceae
Description: bacterial SSU rRNA
Rfam family: Bacterial small subunit ribosomal RNA
Source: RNAcentral
CCUACGGGCGGCUGCAGUGGGGAAUAUUGCACAAUGGGCGCAAGCCUGAUGCAGCCAUGCCCCGUGUGUGAAGAAGGCCUUCGGGUUGUAAAGCACUUUCAGCGGGGCGGAAGGCGGUGAGGUUAAUAACCUCAUCGAUUGACGUUACCCGCAGAAGAAGCCCCGGCUAACUCCGUGCCAGCAGCCGCGGUAAUACGGAGGGUGCAAGCGUUAAUCGGAAUUACUGGGCGUAAAGCGCACGCAGGCGGUCUGUCAAGUCGGAUGUGAAAUCCCCGGGCUCAACCUGGGAACUGCAUUCGAAACUGGCAGGCUAGAGUCUUGUAGAGGGGGGUAGAAUUCCAGGGGUAGCGGUGAAAGGCGUAGAGAUCUGGAGGAAUACCGGUGGCGAAGGCGGCCCCCUGGACAAAGACUGACGCUCAGGUGCGAAAGCGUGGGGAGCAAACAGGAUUGAUACCCGAGUAGUC